CAGUGGUUUGUAUAUGGCAUGUAUACAGCUGAAGCCUGAAGUUGAUAAACGUGUUUAUGUUAAUUAACAGUAAUUUACCUUGAGACCAGCAGUCUUUUGCAUGACAAUAAACGUCUGACAAUAAAUCAUGACCUCCACAGCUCUCGGCCUGUGUCUGGGUCUCCUACAUCAUGACUCCACAGCUCUAGGUCUGUGUCUGGGUCUCCUACAUCAUGACUCCACAGCUCUAGGUCUGUGUCUGGGUCUCCUACAUCAUGACUCCACAGCUCUAGGACUGUAUCUGGGUCUCCUACAUCAUGACUCCACAGCUCUAGGUCUGUGUCUGGGUCUACUACAUCAUGACUCCACAGCUCUAGGUCUGUGUCUGGGUCUCCUACAUCAUGACAGCUCUAGGCCUGUGUUUGGGUCUCCUACAUCAUGACUCCACAGCUCUAGGCCUGUGUCUGGGUCUCCUACAUCAUGACCCCACAGCUCUAGGACUGUAUCUGGGUCUCCUACAUCAUGACUCCACAGCUCUAGGUCUGUGUCUGGGUCUCCUACAUCAUGACUCCACAGCUCUAGGUCUGUGUCUGGGUCUCCUACAUCAUGACUCCACAGCUCUAGGACUGUAUCUGGGUCUCCUACAUCAUGACUCCACAGCUCUAGGUCUGUGUCUGGGUCUCCUACAUCAUGACUCCACAGCUCUAGGUCUGUGUCUGCGUCUCCUACAUCAUGACUCCACAGCUCUAGGACUGUAUCUGGGUCUCCUACAUCAUGACUCCACAGCUCUAGGUCUGUGUCCAGGUCUCCUACAUCAUGACUCCACAGCUCUAGGUCUGUGUCCAGGUCUCCUACAUCAUGACUCCACAGCUCUAGGUCUGUGUCUGGGUCUCCUACAUCAUGACAGCUCUAGGACUGUAUCUGGGUCUCCUACAUCAUGACUCCACAGCUCUAGGACUGUAUCUGGGUCUCCUACAUCAUGACUCCACAGCUCUAGGACUGUGUCUGGGUUUCCUAAAUCAUCCUCUUCCCUCCAUGUCCUCCUGGCUGCUGCUGUUCUAAGUGCUCCACUGACCUGCUGUUGUCGUCUGUCCUCCUUGGCUCAUCUGAGAUGUUUAGAUUACAUCAUAUUUGAGGACACAUAAUUUAAGGGCCUAUGUAUUUUUCAUGUUUUAUUCACCUACAAUCUUUUCCCCUCCCUUUCUGGCUGCCCUGCCCCCUUCCCUACUCAGAUCAAGUUUGUUUAUUAUAUACACAUGAUAUACACUGUGUGUACAAAACAUUAGGAAUACCUG
Molecule: long non-coding RNA, 1274 nt
Filed under: Salmo salar (Atlantic salmon)
Lineage: Eukaryota; Metazoa; Chordata; Actinopteri; Salmoniformes; Salmonidae
Description: lncRNA (ENSSSAG00000102133.1)
Source: RNAcentral